Molecule: ribosomal RNA, 432 nt
Filed under: uncultured bacterium
Lineage: Bacteria
Description: bacterial SSU rRNA
Rfam family: Bacterial small subunit ribosomal RNA
Source: RNAcentral
CGCUGGCGGCAUGGCUAAUGCAUGCAAGUCGAACGAAAGCCCUUCGGGGCGAAAGUGGCGAAAGGGCGAGUAAUACGAUCGAACGUACCCCAAGGUGGAGGAUAGUGUCGGGAAACUGACGGUAAUACUCCAUGUGCUCUUCGGAGGAAAGCUUUGGCGCCUCGGGAGCGGCGAUCGUCCUAUCAGGUAGUUGGUGAGGUAAUGGCUCACCAAGCCGAAGACGGGUAGCGGGUGUGAGAGCAUGACCCGCCGCAUCGGGGACUGAGACACUGCCCGGACUCCUACGGGAGGCUGCAGCGACGAAUCUUCCGCAAUGGGCGCAAGCCUGACGGAGCAAUGCCGCGUGUGGGACGAAGCGUCUUCGACGUGUAAACCACUGUCAGAAUCUAGGAACACUGACCAGAUUCAAAGGAAGGGCCGGCUAACCUCGUG